This is a long non-coding RNA of Oreochromis aureus, 799 nucleotides long. Lineage: Eukaryota; Metazoa; Chordata; Actinopteri; Cichliformes; Cichlidae. The record is from Ensembl.
CUUUCUUACUGAAUCUCUACUCUGAGUCAUGUUACCUGAGAUUAAUUCUAUGUUUACCUGUCAGCCUGGACAAAUGUGCUGUGUGAAGGAUGUAAAUCAAAUCAGAUCUUAACUGCUUACAUUUAAGGAGCCUGGUCAUAUUUAAUUGUAAUAUGAACCAAUGAUUUUCUGAUUGCUGAUUCUAAGAGAGUCUUUGUGGAAAUCCUGUUUGGCUUUUUGUCAUUUUAAUUCUCUUUUCUGUUUUCCAGAACAGUUCUCCACAGUCGCUGUGCACAUGGGUCAGUGGGACCAAGAAGCACUCUGCUAAUGUGAGACUCUGACCAGCAACAUCCAGCAAGACCCAGGCAGCGUUUUCUAUCUCCCAGCUGGAGUUUUUUGUUUGUGACGGGAGAGUCAGAUUUUUGUUGAAGCUGGAGGAACAGAGAGGUUAAUACACGCUACUGAUCCCUGAUGGGAGAAUCAUCACCUCUGCUAACAAAGAAGCCUGGUGGAUAUUUGUUUACAGACUGAUGAUGGGACAUCAUGCUCUGCAUCUUCAAAGUGAAGAGCCUGAGGCCGGUGACACUCCAGUUCUACUCUAAGUACAUCCUUACGGUGGCUCACAGGACAAGGCGACAUUCCUGUCCUGCCAGAAGAGAAGAGAAACUUCAGAGUCUUCAUGAAGUUCAACCAAAACCUGUCAUAUGGAAUAUGACAGGGUCUCAAACUCCAGUCCUCGAAGGCCGGUGUCAUGCAACUUUUCCAUGCCCUCGAGGACUGGAGUUUGAGACCCCUGCCGUAUGGUGUUCAUGCAGUUUUC